This 74-nucleotide transfer RNA is filed under the name Cordylochernes scorpioides. RNAcentral describes it as "tRNA-Thr". It matches the Rfam family "tRNA". Rfam says of the family: Transfer RNA (tRNA) molecules are approximately 80 nucleotides in length. Their secondary structure includes four short double-helical elements and three loops (D, anti-codon, and T loops). Lineage: Eukaryota; Metazoa; Arthropoda; Arachnida; Pseudoscorpiones; Chernetidae. The record is from RNAcentral.
UCCAGGGUAGCCUAGUGGACAUGGCAUCUGCCCGGUAAAGCGGAACACUGUGGGUUCGAUUCCCACCCCUGGAC